RNAcentral lists this ribosomal RNA (492 nucleotides) under uncultured bacterium. RNAcentral describes it as "partial 16S ribosomal RNA". It matches the Rfam family "Bacterial small subunit ribosomal RNA", at positions 29 to 507 of the family's 1533-position model. The record is from RNAcentral.
AGUGAACGCUGGCGGUAGGCCUAACACAUGCAAGUCGAACGGCAGCACAGUAAGAGCUUGCUCUUACGGGAGGCGAGUGGCGGACGGGUGAGGAAUACAUCGGAAUCUACUUUUUCGUGGGGGAUAACGUAGGGAAACUUACGCGAAUACCGCAUACGACCUACGGGUGAAAGCAGGUGAUCUUCGGACCUUGCGCGAUUGAAUGAGCCGAUGUCGGAUUAGCUAGUUGGCGGGGUAAAGGCCCACCAAGGCGACGAUCCGUAGCUGGUCUGAGAGGAUGAUCAGCCACACGGGAACUGAGACACGGUCCAGACUCCUACGGGAGGCAGCAGUGGGGAAUAUUAGACAAUGGGCGCAAGCCUGAUCCAGCCAUACCGCGUGGGUGAAGAAGGCCUUCGGGUUGUAAAGCCAUUUUGUUGGGAAAGAAAAGCAGCAGGUUAAUACCCCGCUGUUCUGACGGUACCCAAAGAAUAAGCACCGGCUAACUUCGUG